GCACAAGCGGAGGAACAUGUGGUUUAAUUCGAUGAUACGCGAGGAACAUUACCCGGGAUUAAAUUGCACUCGAAUGAUCCGGAAACGGUUCAACUAACAAUAGCGAGUGUGAAGGUGCUGCAUGGUUGUCGUCAGCUCGUGCCGUGAGGUGUCGGUUUAAGUGCCAUAACGAGCGCAACCCUUGUUGUCAGUUACUAACAGGUGAUGCUGAGGACUCUGACAAGACUGCCAUCGUAAGAUGUGAGGAAGGUGGGGAUGACGUCAAAUCAGCACGGCCCUUACGUCCGGGGCUACACACGUGUUACAAUGGGGGGUACAGAGGGCCGCUACCACGCGAGUGGAUGCCAAUCCCUAAAACCCCUCUCAGUUCGGACUGGAGUCUGCAACCCGACUCCACGAAGCUGGAUUCGCUAGUAAUCGCGCAUCAGCCACGGCGCGGUGAAUACGUUCCCGGGCCUUGUACACACCGCCCGUCAAGCCAUGGGAGCCGGGGGUACCUGAAGUGCGUAACCGCGAGGAUCGUCCUAGGGUAAAACUGGU
RNAcentral lists this ribosomal RNA (540 nucleotides) under uncultured organism. RNAcentral's name for it is "SSU rRNA". It matches the Rfam family "Bacterial small subunit ribosomal RNA", at positions 923 to 1472 of the family's 1533-position model. The record is from RNAcentral.